RNAcentral lists this unclassified non-coding RNA (290 nucleotides) under Hevea brasiliensis (rubber tree). The record is from RNAcentral. Lineage: Eukaryota; Viridiplantae; Streptophyta; Magnoliopsida; Malpighiales; Euphorbiaceae.
AAGAGGAACAGAAGAAUGAAGGAAAUAAAAAACGAAGUUCGGACCUCAGUUAAAGGUAUUAUCGAUAAAAGAAUGAAGGCAAUGAAAGCAGGGAAUGCCGAUAAUAAUGAGGAUCUGUUAGGCAUAUUGCUUGAAUCAAAUUUCAAAGAAAUUGAACAGCACGGUAACAAGGAUUUUGGAAUGAGCAUCGAAGAAGUCAUCGAAGAAUGCAAGUUAUUCUAUUUUGCUGGCCAAGAAACUACAUCAGUCUUACUCGUGUGGACUCUGGUGUUGUUGAGUCGGUAUCAAGA